This 377-nucleotide ribosomal RNA is filed under the name uncultured bacterium. RNAcentral describes it as "bacterial SSU rRNA". It matches the Rfam family "Bacterial small subunit ribosomal RNA", at positions 521 to 896 of the family's 1533-position model. The record is from RNAcentral.
UAAUACGUAGGGGGCAAGCGUUGUCCGGAAUCAUUGGGCGUAAAGAGCGUGUAGGCGGUCCUGUAAGUCCGCUGUGAAAGUCAAGGGCUCAACCCUUGAAUGCCGGUGGAUACUGCAGGACUAGAGUCCGGAAGAGGCGAGUGGAAUUCCUGGUGUAGCGGUGAAAUGCGCAGAUAUCAGGAGGAACACCGAUGGCGAAGGCAGCUCGCUGGGACGGUACUGACGCUGAGACGCGAAAGCGUGGGGAGCAAACAGGAUUAGAUACCCUGGUAGUCCACGCCGUAAACGAUGGGCACUAGGUGUGGGAGGUGUCGACUCCUCCCGUGCCGCAGCUAACGCAUUAAGUGCCCCGCCUGGGGAGUACGACCGCAAGGUUA